UACGAAGGGGGCUAGCGUUGCUCGGAAUUACUGGGCGUAAAGGGCGCGUAGGCGGACAGUUUAGUCGGGGGUGAAAGCCCGGGGCUCAACCUCGGAAUUGCCUUCGAUACUGGCUGUCUUGAGUACGGGAGAGGCGUGUGGAACUCCGAGUGUAGAGGUGAAAUUCGUAGAUAUCGUAAGGAAGACCAGUGGCGAAGGCGGGUCUCUGGACAGUUCCUGACGCUGAGGCACGAAGGCCAGGGGAGCAAACGGG
RNAcentral lists this ribosomal RNA (253 nucleotides) under uncultured bacterium. RNAcentral describes it as "partial 16S ribosomal RNA". It matches the Rfam family "Bacterial small subunit ribosomal RNA", at positions 524 to 776 of the family's 1533-position model. The record is from RNAcentral.